Molecule: non-coding RNA, 29 nt
Filed under: Mus musculus (house mouse)
Lineage: Eukaryota; Metazoa; Chordata; Mammalia; Rodentia; Muridae
Source: RNAcentral
UGAUCGUGACCUUCCCGCCUUGACCCAAU